UACGUAGGUCCCGAGCGUUGUCCGGAUUUAUUGGGCGUAAAGGGAGCGCAGGUUGUUUUUUAAGUUGGGUGUAAAAGGCAGUGGCUUAACCGUUGUUGGCAUCCAAAACUGGAAGACUUGAGGACAGAAGAGGAGAGUGGAAUUCCAUGUGUAGCGGUGAAAUGCGUAGAUAUAUGGAGGAACACCGGAGGCGAAAGCGGCUCUCUGGUCUGUGCCUGACACUGAGGCUCGAAAGCGUGGGGAGCAAACAGGAUUAGAAACCCCGGUAGUCC
Molecule: ribosomal RNA, 272 nt
Filed under: uncultured Lactococcus sp.
Lineage: Bacteria; Bacillati; Bacillota; Bacilli; Lactobacillales; Streptococcaceae
Description: partial 16S ribosomal RNA
Rfam family: Bacterial small subunit ribosomal RNA
Source: RNAcentral